GUACCUUGACGGUACCUAACCAGAAAGCCACGGCUAACUACGUGCCAGCAGCCGCGGUAAUACGUAGGUGGCAAGCGUUGUCCGGAAUUAUUGGGCGUAAAGCGCNCGCAGGUGGUUCCUUAAGUCUGAUGUGAAAGCCCCCGGCUCAACCGNGGAGGGUCAUUGGAAACUGGGGAACUUGAGUGCAGAAGAGGAAAGUGGAAUUCCAAGUGUAGCGGUGAAAUGCGUAGAGAUUUGGAGGAACACCAGUGGCGAAGGCGACUUUCUGGUCUGUAACUGACACUGAGGCGCGAAAGCGUGGGGAGCAAACAGGAUUAGAUACCCUGGUAGUCCACGCCGUAAACGAUGAGUGCUAAGUGUUAGNGGGUUUCCGCCCUUUAGUGCUGCAGCUAACGCU
Molecule: ribosomal RNA, 397 nt
Filed under: uncultured bacterium
Lineage: Bacteria
Description: bacterial SSU rRNA
Rfam family: Bacterial small subunit ribosomal RNA
Source: RNAcentral